This 490-nucleotide ribosomal RNA is filed under the name uncultured bacterium. Its description in RNAcentral is "partial 16S ribosomal RNA". It matches the Rfam family "Bacterial small subunit ribosomal RNA", at positions 30 to 507 of the family's 1533-position model. The record is from RNAcentral.
AUUGAACGCUGGCGGAAGGAGGAACAAAGGCAAGUCGAACGGUAACAGGAAGCAGCUUGCUGCUUUGCUGACGAGUGGCGGACGGGUGAGUAAUGUCUGGGAAACUGCCUGAUGGAGGGGGAUAACUACUGGAAACGGUAGCUAAUACCGCAUAACGUCGCAAGACCAAAGAGGGGGACCUUCGGGCCUCUUGCCAUCGGAUGUGCCCAGAUGGGAUUAGCUAGUAGGUGGGGUAACGGCUCACCUAGGCGACGAUCCCUAGCUGGUCUGAGAGGAUGACCAGCCACACUGGAACUGAGACACGGUCCAGACUCCUACGGGAGGCAGCAGUGGGGAAUAUUGCACAAUGGGCGCAAGCCUGAUGCAGCCAUGCCGCGUGUAUGAAGAAGGCCUUCGGGUUGUAACGUCCUUUCAGCGGGGAGGAAGGGAGUAAAGUUAAUACCUUGGCUCAUUGACGUUACCCGCAGAAGAAGCACCGGCUCCCUCCGUG